CAGGAUGAACGCUAGCGACAGGCCUAACACAUGCAAGUCGAGGGGCAGCACAAGGAGCAAUCUGAGGUGGCGACCGGCGCACGGGUGAGUAACACGUAUGCAACCUGCCUGUAAGCGGGGAAUAACCCGUUGAAAGACGGACUAAUACCGCAUAAUACUAAAUUACUGCAUGGUAAUUUAUUUAAACAUUUAUGGCUUACAGAUGGGCAUGCGCAUGAUUAGCUAGUUGGAGAGGUAACGGCUCCCCAAGGCAACGAUCAUUAGGGGUUCUGAGAGGAAGGUCCCCACACUGGUACUGAGACACGGACCAGACUCCUACGGGAGGCAGCAGUGAGGAAUAUUGGUCAAUGGACGAGAGUCUGAACCAGCCAAGUCGCGUGCAGGAAGAAUGUCCUAAUGGAUUGUAAACUGCUUUUGCAGGGGAAUAAAGUGCAUCACGUGUGAUGUUUUGUAUGUACUCUGCGAAUAAGGAUCGGCUAACUCCGUGCCAGCCGCUGC
This 498-nucleotide ribosomal RNA is filed under the name uncultured bacterium. Its description in RNAcentral is "bacterial SSU rRNA". It matches the Rfam family "Bacterial small subunit ribosomal RNA", at positions 25 to 518 of the family's 1533-position model. The record is from RNAcentral.